RNAcentral lists this long non-coding RNA (5291 nucleotides) under Salvia miltiorrhiza (redroot sage). Its description in RNAcentral is "long non-coding RNA (SMIL_LNC011364)". Lineage: Eukaryota; Viridiplantae; Streptophyta; Magnoliopsida; Lamiales; Lamiaceae. The record is from RNAcentral.
GUCUGCGUGCGAGGGGAUUUGGGUUUCGAUUUUUGUGUUUUGAUUUCUGAUCGUGUUUUUCUUCGUCGUUAAUCUGCGUGCGAGGGGAUUUGGGUUUCUACGAUAUUCACAUAAAUGUGGAAGAAGGGAUUGAAUUAGUAUGAUAUUGAUAACUGUCUGUUAGCCUUCUUCGUAUUCGUGCCCGGACCGGAUGUUAGUUUUUCUUCUAUGAACGGUUGGAUUUUCUAUAAUUCUGAGAUUUUGGACUGAUGACGUUAUUUCAUUCCGCACGAGAUUGGCUGAUAAAAAUUGGAAGUUCAUGUUUUUGUAGAUUAGAGAAGCAUCACUAUCAUCUGCAGUUUUCGACUUAUAUGCGUUUUGUGUGCGAUAUUCGCUAUGUUCUAGUAGUUGCUUGGCUCUCAAUGAUUUCGUCAUGAUCAUCGGGUAAAUGUCGACAUUCAUCAUUGCAAAUAUGGAUUCAAAUAUUUUUCACUCUUUAUCCCGUCAUCUUGUUCAUCCUACUGAAGGCACGUAUCCCAACAAUUAUGCUUUUCCUUUCUAUUUGCAGAACGUGCUCAACUAUUUCGUAAGUCUUGCAUCCGUUUUGCGUUCAUAGUAUCUCCUUUUAGGGGACUUCUGCUGAAUCUAAUCUGCCUUUCUUUUUUAGAUUUACCAAUUGCUGUCUUGUUCUAAAGUCAUCUGCUGUUUGGUUUUUUCUUAUUCAUAGUCUUGCCUCUUUUUUAUGUCAACUAGUUUUUUGUGAAUACGAGACUUAUUAUAUUAGUUCGUAGUUCCCAUAGUUCUGGCUGCUUCUGUUUCACCUUCCCUUUUAACUAUCCUCUUCUCUGUUUCAUUUUUUCUCGCAGAUCUAGUCAUGCUUAUCAUCUACUUCAAAGUUAUGCCUCCGUUCAGUAUGUAUCUAUAGUUUCGUUGUUUUGAUGUGCUUGGUUGCUGUUGGUUUUCAAUUUUUACCCAGUAGUUUGAUUGUGUCAGUGAUUUAGUAUCUCGGGAUUUGAACACGACGUAGUUGAUUUUAAGGUAUGAUCUUUUAUUAUAGUCCACGAGGACAUUAUUUUAUGUGAAAUUUUAUGCCUUAAUUGUGAUUUGUAAUUAAUUACUUUGUAUUUGACUUUGAAAGGUUGUUCACAAGUAUUUUUUAAACUAUCUAUGAUGAUCUUUUUAAAUUCCAACACCUGGGAUUAUUAUAUAUUUUUAAGUUUUUUAUGAUUCUAAGAUUCUGGUGAAUUAACACCUUGAAAGGAUUUAGUUUGGAGUUAUGAUCUUUUCGUCACUAUUGUUUCUUUUCCAUCUUAGUGUCUCAUUUUGACAUGAUCUGCGAGUGUUCUAUUAUGCAUUGUAUAGUGAAUUUCAAAUAUUAGGAUUGAAUCGAUGUAGGACCAUGGUGCACUAUGGCUCUCUAGGACUUUGUUGCACUGUGAGGCUGGAUGAAGGCUGGCUGGGUAUCUUGAGGUUUGACGAACGGACUAAUUUCUAAUUUCUAAUCUCUUUUCAAAUUGGGAGGGUUUUCUUGGUUUCUGUCCUGGGUUCCUUUGCUUGCUGGUCCUGCACAAGCUCAUAUCUCUCUGGAUUUUGCAUUUGCGUGUAUCUUCUUGGUAGAUUAUUCCAGAAUGGAAGAUUUCAUUGAUAAACUUGUAAAGCACAAUUUACUUGGAUUUGUCUGUAUAAGCCCGCUAUCUUCCUAUCUGCAUUCUCCCGUUUGUAGAAUUUGCAUUUGCAAGGUGAAUGAUAUUGCUGGAAGAUAUCAAAAGGUUGAACACUCAUGGGCUGGGGAAACCAUACAGAGUUGUAACCUGUUCUGGUGUUAUCUCUAUCCUAUCAGCUUUUGAUCUAUUUGCACUUUUAAGGAUAUAUGCCUUAUGGUCUUCUUUUAUGGUGUACUUCAGCAAAGAAAUUUGAAGCAAAUAUCAUGUUGGCUGGGCAGCUGAGUUCCUUAUCUUUAUGUUUUUCCUCACCAACUUUGUUUCAUUUUUAUAAAACAAACAUGCUAUUGUGUCUUAACUUGUGCUGAUGUUGCUGCAAUGAAGAUGUGAUUUUGCUAAAGCUGCUUUGGUUUUGAGUUGAUUUUCAAUGUGGACUAUGGCUCCUCCUUGCACGGGUGGGAUAUUUGGGAAAUGAUGAAGACUGGGUGCCUCAAGGCUGUCCUUCCAAAUGUUGCUGCAUGUCCUUUAUGGUGACUUUUUUGGGUGGUCUGGGUAUUCCGUGGUUCUUUUCCUGGGUUCUCUUGCUGGUGGUCCUGCAAAAAAUGACCUUUCUGGGUUUGAGUUGUGCUUUUAUGUUCUUUCGAGCUGUCUUCAUCUUUGCCAUCUGAAACAUUUUGGUCCAUUAUUGCUUUGCUUCCAACAUGUUGUUGAACAUCUUGUGUUAUCCUAGGUGAAGUCUAGGAGAAGUCUUAUUUAGUGGCUCUUCAUUCAGGACAGAACUCAUUAGGCUUAAUCUGGGUGAUAUAUUUUGUUUAGGAUCAUAUAAAUAAAGAGCAAGCAAUGUGUUGUGGAUCAUUUCUAUUUGCGUCUGAUUACCUAUUGAAACAGAGUGCUUGGAAAUUUUUAUCAUAAGAGAUUCAGCUGUUGGGAGUACUAAUUGUUGGCAUAGUCUUGAGUUCAUGGUUGGAUUGAAUAUCAUGCUGUCCUGUGUUUGCGUAGGACAGAAGGUACUACUUGAAAAUGAAUUUUAGUCGAACACAUCUAACAAUUAGGCAUGGUCGAAGGCAUUUUAGUUUUUGGGUUUUUAAGUUGAUAUUGAAGAUGUUUCAAUCGAGUUCUUCUUUGUUAGAUCUUAUUUUACGUGGAGUUAGUGUGUUCCCGUUGUCACUUCUGUAAAAUGUUACUGGUCUCCUUUUCUUUUGAGGUGGUGUUGGUUUAAAAGUCUUAUUCAUCUCUUGCUUGAGAUGCUAUGGAUGAUGAAAGCCUAACGUCUUGCAGAUUAAAUGAAGAACCUUGUGCUGCCAUCUCCUCACUUAUUUGACCGAUCAUCUUAUUCAUCUAUCUGAAUAUUUGUAGCAUAUAUUGUUACUUAUUCUCUAUCUUUUCGCUAAUAUAUGUUUAUGGAGAACAUAUGGAAUUAGUAUAGUAGAUAGCUUUUUGUCCGUUCGUUAAGCUAUUUAUCUAUUUGGAAAGACAUUAGAAUAGUAAGAGUCUCAUUUAUUCUCAUCUUGAAUAAUUAGUGUGUAUAUAGGCGAGGGAUCAUAGUAAGCGCGCCUUUGGAGCACCUUAGUAUCCUUAAUUGCAUAAGCUUAACUUAAAACAUAAAGCUGCAUGAUGUUGCACACGAAACUCAUAUAUGAAUUCAAUGCAUACAUUCAUUAACGUUACUUAUAUGCAUGUAAUGCAAUUUUCAAAAGAUGCAUGAUUAUAUAUAUGUUUUUGUAUUGCUGUAUAGCCAAACAUGCAUAGCUAAUAUUGUACUACGUGAGGGAAGGGUAUUACCUGAUCUUGAUCUUGUAUGUAUAUAUGGAAAAGAGAGUACCAAAACAUAGUCCCAUAACUUUUUAGCUAUCUGUCUCAUACCUAAUUGUGUUCUUGGAGGGUCAAAUUUGUGUUCAGUACUUUUUUUGGCAAUGAGAAUAUCGUGACAUAUUGUCUGUUAUGUUUGCUUGCAUUCUUACAGACGGUCCUCCAUUUUUGGUUCUGUACUUCAAGCCUGAGUAACUAGUUUUGCUCGUGGAUGGAAUAUUACUGCUGUCACUCGUUAAGCUUUGCAUUGCGUCUCUGAUAUGUUCUUGUUGUGUAUCUUAUAUCUAUUGUUGGGGAUUCUGGGCUGGAUGCUGUGAAGUUACUAUUUUUGCCAGAGUGGAAUAUAUUACAGUCACUAUCUUGACCUGCACGGAUUAUAUUUGGAUUGGUUGGCAUGCACUCUACAUAGGCUUCUGUCUACUUUUCAUUUUUUUUAGUAUCCCUUGCUGAUUGCUGUUGCAAGUUGAUUUGCUGGAAGAAGUGAAUACGUCGACAGGACAUGACAAUGGCUUUCUUUCGUGCUAUCUGUUCUUCUCAGCUUUUGAUUUGCAGCCCUAUUCAAGUUAUAAGUUCUUUUGGUGUCUUCGUCUCCAAUGCUUUUUGAAUUUAGAAUUACUGCUCUGCUUAUGAAAUGAACAGAGGGGCAUUGAGAGGUUGAUAUCUUUUUGCCAGUUAUCUGUGCCAUAGUAGCUAAAAGUGCACUAAAAGCCUAAAUGGCAUAUGUACUUCUGGGUGGAGAUAUGUGCUUACAAAGUGAGAGAAAGGUCCUAACAAGUUGUGAAGCAGUAGAAGACACUUGAGUCUUUGAGAUCUACUAUUUGAUUAUGAUUUUGGUCUAUGUUAUAAUGCUUAUUCUUGCCGGUGUUAUCCUGUAUAGUAGUCAGUCCUUUUUACCAAUGAGGAGUAGUUGAUUUCCAGAUGUUUGCAUGCCAAUCACUUGACCUGGUUGUCUUGGUGGGUUACUUUACCUGGUAUGUUGUUUAUUGUCACUUUGCAUGUACUGUUACUUGAUACUGUUUAAAAUAUGUAUUUGAUAAUUAAAUAAUAAAAUCAAUGGACUCUUCUCUUUUUUUCUAUUUCAUUAAUUAUGUUGUGUACUUCUUGAAAAUGAAAAUGGCAUAUCAUUGGCAAAUUUUUUGAAUUAAUUUUUUGAAAUGACUCUUUUCGUAGUUGACAGAUGGAAUUUUUUAGGUGGUGGGAACUUGAUGCUAGGUUCUUCAUGCUAGUAGGAACUUGUCUUGAUUCUGGAUUUCCUGUGCUUGCAAAUUAAGUUUACUGGGUUAUGGUGGUUAAUGGGUUAUGUAUGUGCCCUAUAUGUGUCUUUGUUGCUGGUCUAUUUUCCACCUUUAAAAUGUAAGCAGCGAGAAAGAAAAAUGAAGUUGCAGUAUUGAGGAUGCAUAAAAUGUCUGUUGCAGGUAAAUAUAGAAGUGAUGGAGGAGAAUACAAUGAUAAAACAUUUCUUAUCCUGGGAUUUUACUUGUGUGAGCUCUAUUGAAGAAAGUGAAGAACUGUUUAUGUCACUAUGGUGGAGUUUGCAAAUGUUGCAUGCAAUCGAGUGAGCUUAUUUGAUAGUGGUGCUCAGAUAUGGCUCUGUUACAGUUGACGUUGCAUUCAUCUUGUUGAUUAGUUAAAAUUACGGUUUGUCUGGAAAUCUUGAUGUGUCCUCAUGGCAGCAGGUGUGUUUUUGAUUCUUUAUGAUUAUUGCAACAUUGUGAUGCCAACCAUGGUAGGCGUUUUGAUUGGUCCCACUUUGUCGUUUAGAGUUUUGUUCAAUUUCCCUGUUUAGUUUCGCAUAGAUUAGUAACUUGUGUAACUUCGCCUGUGGCGCAUGCUUGGCCACAG